This is a long non-coding RNA of Myotis brandtii (Brandt's bat), 2143 nucleotides long. RefSeq lists it as uncharacterized. The record is from RefSeq and is a predicted model, not a curated record. The transcript is spliced from 14 exons. Lineage: Eukaryota; Metazoa; Chordata; Mammalia; Chiroptera; Vespertilionidae.
CGCCAUUUUCGAGUGAUGCCUGAGCCCAUCAAUCUAGCGGGAGAGAUGGGAUAACCUGUCCGACAGUAGAUCGCCGAUAGGACUCCACCGAAAAAAUCACUUAAAAAAUCUCCAAAAAUCACUUCAAGCCGAGGGCAGUCGGCGGAGCUUGGCCAGGGUUGGCGCUGUCGUUUGCCUGGCCUGCUGACGGCCGUCUUCCCGUGACAAGAAAGUUCAGGCUGGCGGAGAAUUGAGGACCCGAAGUAGCGGGUGCCUCGCGCCCGUCGCGCUUUGACGCUGGAACGUGAGGAGCCCCAGGAGUGGGAGUUUCCCGCUGCCGCCCUCGGCCCCGAGCGCCUCGGUCCGGACGGGGGUCGCGCUGCCCGCUGCCGCGCUUCGGGGCAGAUAGGGCUUUUGAGGUUCUCGCCGCUCCUGGGAAAGCUCCCAGUUCCUACCAAUUCUUACUCGACAGCUCGAAUGAUUUGAGCCAGUGGCGGCUUUAAGUAAUACUUGAUAGGUUUUGACCUUAAGGAGAGAGCCAGUUCUGGAGAACAACCUAACUUCUUUGAUUGAGCACUCACAUAAUGCACUGGAACAUGUUAGGAGAUUAAGGUUUAUAACGAUAAAAUGAAGACCAUGAUAAAACAGCCUCGUACUUAGUUCAUCAGUUCUUACCUUUCUUACCUACUUAAUGAAGAUGUCUUAUGAAAAGUGUACUUCAAGGAAUGAAAUGCUGUUUAUAAUAUAUGCUGUUACCAAGGAAGGGGAAAAAUAAUGAAAUGUGAAUUAAAUUCCUGAAAUUCUGAGUCUCAAAAUGCACUUAAUCAUAAUUUUCAAGCUAUGCAGUUUCUUUCCAGUCUUUUAUGAUAGAAGAGGAAAUAGCCUGUCAGUACCUGAUGAAACAGGUGGAUAUUACUAUCCCUUAUUUAUGGAAAAAGUUUUAUUCUAAGUAUUGUUUCUCAUUGAGUAUUAACAAAAGGGAGAAAAAUUAAUGUCCUAAACUUUUGAGAUAGAUUUGGUUCUAGCUAUAUGCUAUGAAGAAAAUGUUGGCAAAUAAAUAAAUUUAAACCUCUUCUGUUAAAUUUCCGUGCAAGGUGACAAGAUUAACAACAACAAAAAGAAUUCUUGAAUUUGUUGAGAGGUUUUUCUGUCAUUUUCCCACUCUUCCAGCCCCAGACCUCAAAAGGCAUAUAUUUUGACACCUAAGGCACAUGAAGGAAGGAUUGAGAUUGGAAGCUACAGACAUUGUCUGUUCUGAGCAGUUUCUGACAAUAGACCACUGUAGCAAAGGGCAAUAAAUGCCACUGAGAAUAUCCCUCAACACAAAUCUUUACAUCUAAUUUACAUGUCUGAUCUACUGACUUCUGUCUUUUCAUGACUAAAUUAUGGAGUUCAGUUCAGUUUGGACUGUUGGAUGUCCAGCACUGUGGGGGAAAUAAAGCACAGUCCCAAUCCUCAUCUUAAAAGAAUUUGUGGAACCUCAGACAUUGCAGCCAGAAUUUCUCGGGGUCUCUUUUUACAAGAAGGGUAAGACAAACCUAUCCUGUUUGGCUUCCAUCUUGGGAACCCAAAGAUAUUCCAAAUUCUUACCAGAGUGUGAAAAUGGAGAAUAACAUGAAAUAGAAACACUGAAUAUUUGGUAUGUUUAACUCAACUGAGAGGGAAAAGCCUCUUUAAAGUAAUGUUUUCUGGUUUUGAGGUACUGAUAUGAAAUCUGCAGGUGCAGAAUGCUGCCUACCUAAAAGCUCUCUCUGGUUAGACAAGUCUUAGGCACAUUUUAGCUUUGGGAACAUAGUCUUAUUUAUUUUGCUGCAUGUUAUUGCUUUUUUGUUCUAUGUCAUGCUUACUACUCAUUUCCCAUGUAAGGUGUUAGCUUUUUAUCCAUUUAAAGACAUGUGGUUGGAUCUAUCUCAUAGUUUAGAUAAAUACUAAGGCAUUUUCUAAGCUUAAUAAUUAUGAGAUGCUGAGUUUUUUGGCAAAAUUUGUACAGAACUUUUCUUCUCUAGUAGGUCCACUAGAAGGCCAAAUAAUUCUUUAGGUGUAGUUCUGUGGCAAAGCUGGUAAUUAUGUUUUGUUUAAAACACUAAGUUUGAUGUCACAUUACUCUCUUUGAUGGCUUCUUUGGCUCCAGAAAGGUAAUAAAAAUUCCUAAAUUUUAAAAAAA